GCCAGUGUGGUGUAGUGGUUUGAGUGUUAGAUUACAACUCCAAAGACCAGGGUUCGAAUCUCCACUCAGCCA
This is a non-coding RNA of Phrynosoma platyrhinos (Desert horned lizard), 72 nucleotides long. Lineage: Eukaryota; Metazoa; Chordata; Lepidosauria; Squamata; Phrynosomatidae. The record is from the annotation of a GenBank genome assembly.